RNAcentral lists this ribosomal RNA (164 nucleotides) under Sanguisorba minor. RNAcentral's name for it is "5.8S ribosomal RNA". It matches the Rfam family "5.8S ribosomal RNA". From Rfam's summary of the family: 5.8S ribosomal RNA (5.8S rRNA) is a component of the large subunit of the eukaryotic ribosome. The record is from RNAcentral. Lineage: Eukaryota; Viridiplantae; Streptophyta; Magnoliopsida; Rosales; Rosaceae.
UAAACGACUAUCGGCAACCGAUAUUUCGGCUCUCGCAUCGAUGAAGAACGUAGCAAAAUGCGAUACUUGGUGUGAAUUGCAUAAUCCCGUGAACCAUCGAGUCUUUGAAAGCAAGUUGCGCCCGAAGCCAUUAGGCCGAGGGCACGUCUGUCUGAGCGUCACAC